This 500-nucleotide ribosomal RNA is filed under the name uncultured bacterium. RNAcentral's name for it is "partial 16S ribosomal RNA". It matches the Rfam family "Bacterial small subunit ribosomal RNA", at positions 29 to 523 of the family's 1533-position model. The record is from RNAcentral.
AUUGAACGCUGGCGGCAUGCCUUACACAUGCAAGUCGAACGGCAGCACGGGAGCAAUCCUGGUGGCGAGUGGCGAACGGGUGAGUAAAGUAUCGGAACGUGCCCAGUCGUGGGGGAUAACGUAGCGAAAGUUACGCAAAAACCGCAUACGAUAUAUGGAUGAAAGCGGGGGAUCGCAAGACCUCGGACGAAUGGAGCGGCCGAUAUCAGAUUAGGUAGUUGGUGGGGUAAAGGCUCACCAAGCCGACGAUCUGUAGCUGGUCUGAGAGGACGACCAGCCACACUGGGACUGAGACACGGCCCAGACUCCUACGGGAGGCAGCAGUGGGGAAUUUUGGAAAAUGGGCGAAAGCCUGAUCCAGCCAUGCCGCGUGCAGGAUGAAGGCCUUCGGGUUGUAAACUGCCUUUGUACGGAACGAAAAGGUUUGGGCUAAUAAGCUGAGCCCAUGACGGUACCGUAAGAAUAAGCACCGGCUAACUACGUGCCAGCAGCCGCGGUAA